RNAcentral lists this ribosomal RNA (435 nucleotides) under uncultured bacterium. Its description in RNAcentral is "bacterial SSU rRNA". It matches the Rfam family "Bacterial small subunit ribosomal RNA", at positions 959 to 1392 of the family's 1533-position model. The record is from RNAcentral.
ACGCGAAGAACCUUACCUGGGCUCGAACGGCUUUGGAACAGGGUGGAAACACCUUCUUCCCGCAAGGGACCGGAGUCGAGGUGCUGCAUGGCUGUCGUCAGCUCGUGUCGUGAGAUGUUGGGUUAAGCCCCGCAACGAGCGCAACCCUUGUCCUGUGUUGCCACUCCCGUAAGGGAAGCACUCGCAGGAGACCGCCAGCGAUAAGCUGGAGGAAGGUGGGGAUGAUGUCAAGUCAUCAUGGCCUUUAUGUCCAGGGCUACACACGUGCUACAAUGGACGGUACAAAGCGCUGCUAACCCGCGAGGGGGAGCCAAUCGCAAAAAACCGUUCUCAGUUCGGAUCGCAGGCUGCAACCCGCCUGCGUGAAGCUGGAAUCGCUAGCAAUGGCGUAUCAGAACGACGCCGUGAAUACGUUCCCGGGUCUUGUACACACCG